UUUUUUUUCCUUUUCCUCCACUGAAAUAAUCUUAUUUAUUUGAACCUUCCAAAGGUGGAUAUGGUUAUAGAAGAAGUGGCCGAGAUAAAUAUGGCCCUCCUACUCGCACAGAGUACAGACUUAUUGUGGAGAAUUUGUCAAGUCGGUGCAGCUGGCAAGACCUAAAGGAUUAUAUGCGUCAGGCAGGAGAAGUGACUUAUGCAGAU
Molecule: small RNA, 206 nt
Filed under: Pongo abelii (Sumatran orangutan)
Lineage: Eukaryota; Metazoa; Chordata; Mammalia; Primates; Hominidae
Description: retained intron
Source: RNAcentral